Salvia miltiorrhiza (redroot sage) is the source of this 802-nucleotide long non-coding RNA. RefSeq lists it as uncharacterized. The record is from RefSeq and is a predicted model, not a curated record. Lineage: Eukaryota; Viridiplantae; Streptophyta; Magnoliopsida; Lamiales; Lamiaceae. The transcript has 3 exons.
GAAUAUACUAAAAAGUAAAACCUAAACCUAAACCUAAUUCACUAAAAGUUAUUCCUCAAAUCUCAUCGCCGCACAGCUCAUUCCUGCACCUCAAAUCUCAUCCUCAACCUCAAAUCUCAAAUCUCAUCGCCGCACAGCUCAAAUCUCCUCCUCAACCUCAUUCCUCAAAUCAGCGCCGCACAGCUCCCUCCUGCACCUAAACCUCGUCGCCCCACCCCCGCCGCAGAUCUGCGCCUGCACCGCGCCGCGCCGCCUGCAUCUGCACCGCGCCGCGUCGCCGCAUACCUCUGCAUCGCCGCCUGCUCCAGAGAUUGCACCGCGCCACAUCGCCGCCUGCAUCUGCACCGGUCGCCGCACCUGCAUCUGCAUCGCCGCCUGCUGCUCCAACUUCUGCAUAUCUAUCUUGAGAGAGAGAGGGAGAAAUGGGUCAGGGGAAUCUCCUCUGCAUAUCGCUGCCGCUAACGGCCAGAUCGAGAUUCUCUCGUUGCUUCUCGACUGAUCCGUGAAGCCGGAUGUGUUGAAUCGGCAUAAACAGAAUGCAGUUAAUGGCCAAUUCAAAUCUAAUAGAAAAUACUCCUCAAGUAGAUGAGAUUACGGUGGAAGUGAAUGAUGUGGAGAAAGAAGUUGUGGAUUGAAGAGGUGUUUGCAAAAGAAGCUUCACGUUAAGUUACAAGCUUGAAGGAAGAUUGAAUGCUUGACAUUUGUUCUAGUAUCAUGUUAUUUUGAUGUAUUUGAAACUUUUCAUGAUGUAUGUUUCUACAUGGAUAUUGUUUAUUUCACAAUAUUUUGAAUUUGUGGCUUA